GCUUAUCAAGAGUGGUGGAGGGACUGGCCCUGUGAAACCCGGCAACCAGAUCGUAAUGAUCAUGGUGCUAAUUCCAACAGACGAAAUCGUCUGGGAGAUGAG
This 102-nucleotide non-coding RNA is filed under the name uncultured Exiguobacterium sp. Its description in RNAcentral is "SAM riboswitch (S box leader)". It matches the Rfam family "SAM riboswitch aptamer (S box leader)". From Rfam's summary of the family: The SAM riboswitch is found upstream of a number of genes which code for proteins involved in methionine or cysteine biosynthesis in Gram-positive bacteria. Lineage: Bacteria; Bacillati; Bacillota; Bacilli; Caryophanales. The record is from RNAcentral.